GUUUAUAUAGUUUAAUAAAAACAUUACAUUUUCAUUGUAAAAUUAAAAAUCUUUUUUUUAUAAAUU
RNAcentral lists this transfer RNA (66 nucleotides) under Calliphora vicina (urban bluebottle blowfly). RNAcentral's name for it is "tRNA-Glu". The record is from RNAcentral. RNAcentral also lists the same sequence under 10 other names. Lineage: Eukaryota; Metazoa; Arthropoda; Insecta; Diptera; Calliphoridae.